GAAGGACUUACUCUUCGGAGUGAGAGCGUACACAGGUGCUGCAUGGCUGUCGUCAGCUCGUGUCGUGAGAUGUUGGGUUAAGUCCCGCAACGAGCGCAACCCUGCAUUCAGUUGCCAUCGGUAAGGCCGGGCACUCUGGAUGGACUGCCGGCGACAAGCCGGAGGAAGUGGGGACGACGUCAAGUCAUCAUGGCCCUUAUGUCCAGGGCGACACACGUGCUACAAUGGCCGGCACAACGGGAAGCGAAGGGGCGACCCUGAGCGGAUCCCACAAAAGCCGGUCUCAGUUCGGAUUGCAGUCUGCAACUCGACUGCAUGAAGUUGGAAUCGCUAGUAAUCGUGGAUCAGCCAAGCCGCGGUGAAUACGUUCCCGGGCCUU
Molecule: ribosomal RNA, 379 nt
Filed under: uncultured Thermovirga sp.
Lineage: Bacteria; Thermotogati; Synergistota; Synergistia; Synergistales; Thermovirgaceae
Description: bacterial SSU rRNA
Rfam family: Bacterial small subunit ribosomal RNA
Source: RNAcentral